Molecule: small nucleolar RNA, 138 nt
Organism: Ornithorhynchus anatinus (platypus)
Lineage: Eukaryota; Metazoa; Chordata; Mammalia; Monotremata; Ornithorhynchidae
Source: RefSeq, a predicted model, not a curated record
CACCUCUCGGGGUCGCACCUGGAGAGUUUCCAGUACUCUCCCAGUCUCAGCUACGGGAGGGAUAAUCAAGCAGAGGCCUACACUUUCCGUUCCUAGCUUGGCCAGUGGCUAGCGAAUGGAAGGCAAUCUGCUCCGUGU